AGUGCUCUGGCCCUUUUUGUGAGUAUUGUCCAUACAUAUGAGUAUAUGACAUGCUGUCGACAGUUCUUGCUAUGAAUGCUCCACUACCUCAUCUUCGGUUGAUGAUAUAACCUGACAUUUCACGAUUUCCUUUUACAAACCUGCUUAUAAGAUGCUGUGGAUCGUGAUUUUCUACCAUUUCACUGGUAAGAUGGUCUAGAAUCUUUAUCAUGUCGGAAGUGCAUUCGGUGUAACGAACCUGCUUUGGUAGGUUAUUAUAGUUAUCAUACUCAGCGAUAUGGAUGCGUAGGUAAAAGUGUUUUGUGUAGUUUCUUAAUAAGACUGAUGAGUAUAUGAUAGUAGAACACUAGAACUAACUGGAUUAUCAUAAUUUAUCUAAGUCAUCUUUUCUGUGAAGGCACGAUGGGACCUAAUACUAGUCUAGCGGCCAAACUCCUUGUAGGCGUUGGUGGCAUUGGUAAGACCACCCUUGCUCAGAAGGUCUUCAAUGACGAGGUCAAUGAUGGUGGGUUUAUCAAGAAGAUAUGGUUGAGCGUCAACCAAAACUUCAGUGAAGCUGAGUUGUUGAGAAGGGCCAUCACAGAAGCCAGAGGAGACUGCCAAUUAGCUGGAAAUGCAAAGCUCACGCUUCAGCGAACCUUGAAGGAUGUCCUGAUUGGCCACAAGACCUUAAUGGUGAUGGAUGAUGUGGUGGAGCCAUGGUGCAUGGGUGGAUGUGCUAAAAAGUAAAAAACAACCUUAGUCGAUGCAACUGCUCCAGGCAGCCGAGUCCUUGUCACUACCAGAGAUGAAAGAGUGGCUCGACAACUGAAAGCUGUCCAGCCGUACCACCAUGUUGACAAAUUGGAUGAUGAAGAUGCCUGGUCAUUGCUCAAGAAACAGGUCCGUAGUUAAACUCUAAGCAUUUUCACUAAGUGCUUAGCUCUGUAUUUCAGACUAUAGAUAAUUAUAAUAGAAUAUACCAAUGCAUGCCACCACACUCGAACAAGUGCAUGCUUAUUCAAGUAAAUUUGUCACAAUGUUUUCGUUAAUCCUAGAGAUUGUAUUUGGGGUUAUGAGGCGAGAAAUUUCCCUCACACCAGCAGGCCACGGGCCUAUUCAUUCCCACCUGUAUUUUCUGUUCUUUCCUAAAAUGUUCAAGUUCAUAUUAUCUUAUCACUAGUGAGUGCCUUCUGCGAUGCUUUUAAUAGUGUGUUCAACUACCUAGGUUGCAUCUGCAUUACUUUCAUUGUGCGAAUUUCGGUACGCUGCAUAGCUUAUUUGGCCUGGCUGGCUCGCUCAAACUUAGUCAUCCAACUAAUAAUGUAAUCUCACUAACAAAACUUAUUUGGCCUGGCUGGCUCGCUCAAACUUAGUCAUCCAAAUAACAGAGGGAGCCCGUAUGGGGCUGGUACCUUCACAGGCGGUUCCCAGCAGCAUUGGCGUUGCCCAUACCCCAGGCCUCCUGCACUCUGUUUUCAGUCCAAACUGAGCUUUUGUUUUCAGGGUGCGGUUCAGUGAUCGAUUCAUUCUUCCAUCCAAAUCAGAAACUGGUGCUGAUGAGGACUAUCUAAUUCUUUCUUGGGUUUUAGAAUGGUAAAAUGAACCUUUAAUGGCUACAGAUUGCUGGGCUUACCAUUUCAUACAUGAAUGAUUCUAUGAGCCAUGGUCUCCUCCUAGAAAAGAUUACAUGGGUGACCAUCUGCAAAUUGAACAGGGAAUAUGGCACCACAAGGGCUGGUCUAAAGGCGUUAGGUUAUGAGCUUGACAACGAUGAAUUUCAUGCAAAUCUUCAGGGUAGACUUAUGAGCCCUGACCCUGUUUUGAGGAUCGCUCCACUUUCCAUUCCACAGAGAAAAAUAAUAUUCACAAACUCGGACAAGGUUCAUGCGGAGGAGGUUCUGGGCAGGCUGGGUUUGGAGGACUGCUUUGAGGGUGUGAUAUGCUUUGAGACAUUGAAUCCACCAGCUGUGCCGAGCAAUGGCCUAAACAAGUCCCAGGAUUGUUUGUUCUCUGUUGAACCAUCUGCUGCAAACCCACCAUUGAAUCUAUGGAGGCUGCAAUUCGGAUCACAAUUAUAUCCCAAGAAAACGUUCCUUUUCGAUGACAGCACACAGAACAUUGCUUCAGGAAAGGCUGCAGGCUUCCACACUGUAAUUUUUGGCAGGUCUGUAGUCGUUCGAGGGGCUGAUCACGCACUGGAGAGCAUCCACAACAUCAAGGAAUCAUUGCCUGAGUUAUGGGAAGGCCAUGACUGGUCAGAAUCGGAUGCCGUUCUUGCUUCCGCCGCCGUUGAAGCAGCAGUUGUUUCUUGAUGUUGUGUGUCCCAAUGGAUUGGCUAGACAGUAUGCUAAAGGUUGAAUACAUGCAGGAGUAUGAAGAUAAGAUGUGCCCUAUCAUAACAUGUAAACACAGUUCCACUGCACUAUAUCAGUGAGAAGCAAGAGUUGGGAAGAACAUGUUGACUACAGGGAUUGCAGCUUUGUUGGGGGGCAUUUUCAAAAUGAGUGGCCUCAUGAACGGGACCUGCUCCGGCGGGGCACAGUACUUCUGGAACAUGUGGGCAUUGAUAUCUCAGCGGCAAAAAGAGGAUGGGCGACAUGAAUCCCAAGACUCCAACUGUAGGGGGGGUGUGGAGAAUAGGAGAAGGAUAGACUGACACAAGGCAGGCUAAGCGGUUUCGGUUCAUUUGUGUUGCUUUUGUGUUCUGAAACCUGCAAAGGUGUUGUUGUAGAAAGUCUUUUAUUAUUGGUCUGUUGUAGUCCUAUUGGUCUGUUUGUGGGUAGUUGUAGAUUUCGAGUUUGGAAAUAGUCACCACGCCAUUUCAAGUUGAGGUAGAGUUUUAAUGUUUUCGAAUAUCAUUGUACUAUCUUUUGUAUAUACCUGAAAUUUUACAUGAAUUAUGUGCGGUACUUUAACUUCACAAGCA
Molecule: RNA transcript, 2908 nt
Organism: Brachypodium distachyon (stiff brome)
Lineage: Eukaryota; Viridiplantae; Streptophyta; Magnoliopsida; Poales; Poaceae
Exons: 8
Source: RefSeq, a predicted model, not a curated record